GGUAUAGACCCGAAACCCGGUGAUCUAGCCAUGGGCAGGUUGAAGGUUGGGUAACACUAACUGGAGGACCGAACCGACUAAUGUUGAAAAAUUAGCGGAUGACCUGUGGCUGGGGGUGAAAGGCCAAUCAAACCGGGAGAUAGCUGGUUCUCCCCGAAAGCUAUUUAGGUAGCGCCUCGUGAAUUCAUCUCCGGGGGUAGAGCACUGUUUCGGCUAGGGGGCCAUCCCGGCUUACCAACCCGAUGCAAACUGCGAAUACCGGAGAAUGUUAUCACGGGAGACACACGGCGGGUGCUAACGUCCGUCGUGAAGAGGGAAACAACCCAGACCGCCAGCUAAGGUCCCAAAGUCAUGGUUAAGUGGGAAACGAUGUGGGAAGGCCCAGACAGCCAGGAUGUUGGCUUAGAAGCAGCCAUCAUUUAAAGAAAGCGUAAUAGCUCACUGGUCGAGUCGGCCUGCGCGGAAGAUGUAACGGGGCUAAACCAU
This 486-nucleotide ribosomal RNA is filed under the name Salmonella enterica. RNAcentral's name for it is "partial 23S ribosomal RNA". It matches the Rfam family "Bacterial large subunit ribosomal RNA", at positions 706 to 1190 of the family's 2925-position model. The record is from RNAcentral. RNAcentral also lists the same sequence under 2 other names. Lineage: Bacteria; Pseudomonadati; Pseudomonadota; Gammaproteobacteria; Enterobacterales; Enterobacteriaceae.